UGGUGUUUGUGACCAGCAAAUUGACAGU
RNAcentral lists this non-coding RNA (28 nucleotides) under Homo sapiens (human). The record is from RNAcentral. Lineage: Eukaryota; Metazoa; Chordata; Mammalia; Primates; Hominidae.